RNAcentral lists this ribosomal RNA (861 nucleotides) under Bacillus pumilus. RNAcentral describes it as "bacterial SSU rRNA". It matches the Rfam family "Bacterial small subunit ribosomal RNA", at positions 543 to 1404 of the family's 1533-position model. Lineage: Bacteria; Bacillati; Bacillota; Bacilli; Caryophanales; Bacillaceae. The record is from RNAcentral.
UCCGGGAAUUAUUGGGCGUAAAGGGCUCGCAGGCGGUUUCUUAAGUCUGAUGUGAAAGCCCCCGGCUCAACCGGGGAGGGUCAUUGGAAACUGGGAAACUUGAGUGCAGAAGAGGAGAGUGGAAUUCCACGUGUAGCGGUGAAAUGCGUAGAGAUGUGGAGGAACACCAGUGGCGAAGGCGACUCUCUGGUCUGUAACUGACGCUGAGGAGCGAAAGCGUGGGGAGCGAACAGGAUUAGAUACCCUGGUAGUCCACGCCGUAAACGAUGAGUGCUAAGUGUUAGGGGGUUUCCGCCCCUUAGUGCUGCAGCUAACGCAUUAAGCACUCCGCCUGGGGAGUACGGUCGCAAGACUGAAACUCAAAGGAAUUGACGGGGGCCCGCACAAGCGGUGGAGCAUGUGGUUUAAUUUGAAGCAACGCGAAGAACCUUACCAGGUCUUGACAUCCUCUGACAACCCUAGAGAUAGGGCUUUCCCUUCGGGGACAGAGUGACAGGUGGUGCAUGGUUGUCGUCAGCUCGUGUCGUGAGAUGUUGGGUUAAGUCCCGCAACGAGCGCAACCCUUGAUCUUAGUUGCCAGCAUUUAGUUGGGCACUCUAAGGUGACUGCCGGUGACAAACCGGAGGAAGGUGGGGAUGACGUCAAAUCAUCAUGCCCCUUAUGACCUGGGCUACACACGUGCUACAAUGGACAGAACAAAGGGCUGCGAGACCGCAAGGUUUAGCCAAUCCCACAAAUCUGUUCUCAGUUCGGAUCGCAGUCUGCAACUCGACUGCGUGAAGCUGGAAUCGCUAGUAAUCGCGGAUCAGCAUGCCGCGGUGAAUACGUUCCCGGGCCUUGUACACACCGCCCGUCACACCA